Molecule: non-coding RNA, 139 nt
Organism: Triticum aestivum (bread wheat)
Lineage: Eukaryota; Viridiplantae; Streptophyta; Magnoliopsida; Poales; Poaceae
Source: Rfam
AUUAUACUCCCUCCGUUGCACAAUACUACAUGCCUUCUAUUUGACAAAAUAUAAAUGUAUCUAGACAUGUCUUAGUAUAUAGGUACAUCCAUUUUUGGACAAAUGGAAGUCAAGUAUUUUGGAACGGAGGGAGUACACA